RNAcentral lists this ribosomal RNA (120 nucleotides) under Neonectria ditissima. The record is from RNAcentral. Lineage: Eukaryota; Fungi; Ascomycota; Sordariomycetes; Hypocreales; Nectriaceae.
ACAUACGACCAUAGCCACCAGAGAACUCGGGAUCCCGUCCGAUCUCCCACUGAUAACCUGGUGAGUGCUGAAUUAGUAGUUGGGUCGGUGACGACCAGCGAAUCCUCAGUGUUGUAUGUA